Molecule: long non-coding RNA, 241 nt
Filed under: Gossypium raimondii (Peruvian cotton)
Lineage: Eukaryota; Viridiplantae; Streptophyta; Magnoliopsida; Malvales; Malvaceae
Description: long non-coding RNA (GRAI_LNC007086)
Source: RNAcentral
GUUUCGGCAGAAGGGAGCAAACCCUAAGCCCAGCGCCGCAUGCCCAGGCUCCAGCAAUGCGCGCCGUUCCACCUCCUCGCACGCCGCCACCGCCCAAGGCUCGCCAACCACCGGUCGUCCACGCGUCUGACACCUGCAAAAAUUAAAUACAAUGGCAAAAAGAAGGCACGCGGGUAGUUAACAGACAGUAAAGAAGAAGAAAGUGUUUUUUUUAAUUCGGCUAUAAAAGCUCGAAUCUAAU